AGCCAGAGAUAGCAGCUGCCCAGAAUCCAGACCUGUACUUUUGUGUUGGGACUCUACCUUGUUUUGUGCUUUUUGAUCAUAAGGAACUGGCCAGAUGCCCCUGAUCCCUCAUGGGUUUCCUGUAUCUAUUCGAUGGCGAGCUUCGAUCCCAAGCCAGGAGGCUGAAGAAAUCCCAACCCUUUGUCAACAUCCCAUGGUCUGGUAGGAGGCUUAGCAGCCUGCUCACUCUCCCACCUUCUCACUACUGAGCCCUUCCACAUCCACCUACUCCCCCUCUGGACAGUUUGCGCUUUGGAAACUACUCCCCUCAAACAAUAAAAGCCCCAAAUGAACAAUUGCGCUCAGUAUGCGUUUGGAGCCACCCAAAUGCUUGGUCGGACCUUGGGAUCCAUUUUGUUUUCUUUUUCUAGUUUGAUUUAUUGAACUUCAUGAGAAACAGAAGCAAUUGUAUUGUUGACUGGUUGUUGUUCUUUUGAUUGAUUGAUUAAUCUGUGCACAGAAAUUACUGCAGUUUGUAAAUACGUUUUGCUUUAUUUUGUUCACAUUCUUACAAUAUAUUUCCCCAUUUAAAAUCAAAUUACUAUCUCCUGGUCUCAUUUACUGCACUGCCCUCCAGUAGCCGAAUCUAAUCUUCUGACAAUAGCCCAGUAUAUAUUCUCACCUAAUUCAACCACAUUGUAAUAAGGCAAACCCUUGCUACAUUGUUUUGAGAAUGUUCUUCUUUUGUUAUCAUGGAACAUAAUCUGACAACAUUCUCCAAACAUCCUCUGAAUGUUAAAACGUUCCACUUCAGUUCACUUUUAACCUCACAGGAACAUUAUUAGAAAUGAUAAAUAUCCUUAAAAUGCUCUUUGAACAUCAGAUUAAAAUGUUUUCUUUAGAACAUUUUUAGAACUUGUAGGUAACGUCAACCAUUGUUGUGGCUCCUUCCCUUCUUUCUGGAAAGUACCUGAUGAGGAGUACUUGAGUAAAAGUACUUCCUUGAAACACUUGUACUGCAUUAUGCUUUUCCACUAUUUAAAUUUGCUUUUUUUUGUUCUCAUGUUCUUUGUAAACAUUCAACAUUUGGGAAAUAUUUGAAGACCAUUGCCUUUAAGAAAAAACAUUCUGAGGAAAAGAAAGAAGAGUUCCAGAGUUCUAGCACUAGAACUUUGCAGAACUUUCUCAGGAUGUUUUUAGAAGAAAACAUUCCAGCUGUGACUCUCCUAAACCGAAGUCCACAGAUAAACUUGUUACUGUGUUCUCUGUGGAGUGUUUUUUUUUACCAUCUAACCUUCACUGAGUAAAAAUCUGAUUCAAACAUUCCUGAUCACAGCCGAGAGAAAAUCUAGGGGUCGGGAUUAUAUAAAUCACAUUUGGGCCUUGCUAAACGUGGAUUCGAUUUGUUUGGGUUUGUGUGGAUUUCAACUUAAUAAAACACAAAAGACCAACCAAGUACUUACUUAAAACAGUCACUACGUGUCUUUCAUUAGAUUCCAGACAUUUCUGCUGCUUUGGUUCCAUCCAGAGGUGAACAUGACCUCAACGUACCCUGAAAAAAAAGGGGAAAAUCAAAGUUUUUUUUUUUUUGUUGCUAAAAUUUAAUUAAUAUUCGUAACACAAUGAAUUUAAUUUCAUCUGUUCUUUAACAAUUAACAGGGUGAAGACGCCCCCCUGAAGAACAAAGUCUUAAAAUAUGUAUUCUUUGAUUAUAACUGUAAUAUGUAUGCAGGAACAAUUUACAGGGUAAAAAAAUCACACCAGACUACAUCGUUGCUAUAUUAAAAUCAAAUGUGAAUUAAUUUAACCUCAUGAGUCCCUUUGAUCAAUGCAACUUAUAAUUCAUGCAAAAGAUUAACCAAAUUCUCAAAUAUUUAUGUUGUUCUAACUUCAUCUGCAACAUUACUAUGAGAUAACAAAUACAGGAAUCAUGUUUGUUUUUACUUUUAAAAGAUUUUUGUUGAUUAAUUUACAACUGAGGGGUCUGUAGGACAAAAAUUCUAACUUUAUUAUUAUUGCUAAUUAAAUUUACAGCUUAAAAAUGAUGUCAGAUCAACAGGAAUGCUUAGUCGACAGUAGCAAAGAUUCAAGCUAGCUAGCGCUACAGGUAGCUAGUAUAGCAUAUUAUCAUUAGCUUAAGCCAGCUAGUUAGCUAGAGCUACAGCCAGCUAAUAAAAUAUAACAUUGUUAGCUUAACAUGAAGUUGGCUAGUAAAUUAGUGCUACACCAAGCUAAUACAGCAUAACAUUGCUAGCUUCACAAGUCAUCUGGUUAGUUAGAGCGAAAGGAAGCCAAUAUAACAACAUUUUUAGCUUAAUACAAGGUCAGAUUGUUAUCUAAUGCUACAGCGAGCUAACGACGUUAUUAUCCUAACAUAAAGUUGGUUGCUUAACUAAUGUUACAGCAAACUAAUGUAGCAUAAUAUGGUUAGCUUAACAUGAAUUCAGAUAGUUAGCUAGUGUUACAGCAAGCUAAUAUAGCAUAACAUUAUUAACUUCAUAAAGUCGGCUAGUGAACUAGUACUAUAGUAAGCUAAUACAGCAUAACAUUAUUAGCUUUAUAUAAAGUUGGCUAAUACUACAGCAAGCUAAUAUAGUAUAACAUUAUUAGGCUAAAAUAAAGUCGGCUAGUUAGCUAG
Long non-coding RNA from Amphiprion ocellaris (clown anemonefish), 2617 nucleotides. RefSeq lists it as uncharacterized. The transcript is spliced from 3 exons. The record is from RefSeq and is a predicted model, not a curated record. NCBI's taxonomy places the organism in Eukaryota, Metazoa, Chordata, Actinopteri, Pomacentridae.